CCCAUCUCAGGAUGGCAUCUGGAGAGUUUUCAGUACUUUACCGGUCUCGACUGUGGGAGGGAGAGUCAAGAAGAGGCAUACCCAUUCCAUUCCUGGCUUGGAUAGUGGCUAGUGAGUGGAAGGCAAUCUGCUACAAGU
Molecule: small nucleolar RNA, 138 nt
Organism: Tachyglossus aculeatus (Australian echidna)
Lineage: Eukaryota; Metazoa; Chordata; Mammalia; Monotremata; Tachyglossidae
Source: RefSeq, a predicted model, not a curated record